UACUCAGCCGCUUAAAGGAAUUGUGGGAGCUGGAGUCCAAAACACCUGGAAGGCCCAAGUUUGCCCAUGCCUGGUCUGGACUGUGUGUUAUCUGUUCAUUUGGUUUCUGAUUUUUUAUGUUAUGUGUAUUUUUGCUGUUUUGACCAUAUAUGCCGCUUUGAAUCCCACCCUUGGGAGAAAAGCGGGAUAAAAAUAAAUAAUAGACGGAGAACAAGCAUGUUUUAGGACUUGGCUCUCAGCCAUUGAUCAGGGACUAAUAUCACAACAUGUAUUAGAAAAAUAUUCUUACCCUUCCUAGGGAGCACUUUAUAUUGUUGUAUAUAUAAAGGGGCCUCCUGCUUUUGACUUUGGAUUAAGAAGAGUAUUUUUACAUCUUUGCCCCUUCAUCUAUAUCCCCGGAUCCCAUCCCAGAUUUAUCUGCUUUAUUGCAAAACCCCUGUAUUUAGGAAACGAUGGGCCCUUCCAAACAGCCCUAUAUCCCAGAAUAUCAAGGUAGAAAAUCCCACAAUAUCUGCUUUGAACUGAGUUAUCUGAGUCCACACCGCCAUACGUUCCAGUUCAAAGCAGAAAAUGUGGGAUUUUAUUCAGCUGUGUGGAAGGGGCCUGAGUCUCCACUGCCAACUAAUCUGGGAUAAGCAGAUAAUGUGGGAUUGGAUUCUGGGAUAUAGAAUCUAGAAGGGGCCUCAGGCCUCUUGUAGAAGGGGCCUCAGGCCUCUUCCAUAUAGCUGAAUAAAAUCCCAUAUCUGCUUUGAACUGGAAUAUAUGGCAGUAUAUUCCAGUUCAAUAUGUGUACUCAGAUAUCCCAGUUCAAAGCAAAUAUUGUGGGAUUUUCUGCCCUGAUAUAUGGCUGUGUGGAAGGGCCCUCAGAGACUCAGCCAUUACAUGGUUAGCGCAGUGGUCUUCGAACCUUUUAAGCAGAGGGCCAAGUUUAGGUCCCUCAGAAAAAUUUUAACCAACAUAAAUUUACUAAUAUCUGAAUGGGAAAUGUAAACCUGCUUUUGGCUAAUGAGCCAAGUUCAUUAGGAUUGUUGUUAUGUACCUUCAAGUCAUUUCAGACUUAAGGUGACCUUAAGUCUAAAGUUUAGGGCAGGGGCCGAGUAAAUGACUUUGGAGGGCUGCAUCUGGCCCACCAAAAAUCCUUUCAGGUAGAUCCUCUUCAAUAUAAACUAUUUCAAUAGGUUGCAGUGAGUUUUCCGGGGUGUAUGGCCAUGUUCCAGAAGCAUUCUUCCCUGAUGUUUCACCCACAUCUGUGGCAGUCAUUCUCAGAGGUUGUGGGGUCUGUUGUAGUCAAGCGGGGUUUAUAUAUCUGUGGCCAGUCCAGGGUGGGAGAAAGAACUCUUGUCUGUUGGAAGCAGGUGUUAAUGUUUCAAUUGGCCACCUUGAUGAGCAGUGAAUAGCAUUUCAGCUUCACGUUCUGGCUGCUUACUGCCAGGGGGGAAUCCUUUAUUGGGAGGUGUUAGCUGGCCCUGAUUGAUUCAUGUCUAUUUCAAUAGGUUCAAAAGCAUAGGCAGCUCCAGAGGCAGAGGGGACGGACAGACAGCCUUUCUUGGGCCAGGCAAUGAGGAGGAAAAGGAAGGGACCUGAGGCUGUUUGGAAUGGUGGGAGUUGGAGUCCAAAACAUCCAGAGGGCUCAAGUUGGCCCAUGCCUGGUCUACACCCUCCUAUAAUAAUAUCUUUAUCUACACUGAACAUAUAGCUCAUUAGAACAUUGCCUCUGAUUUAAGAAAAACCUUCACUCUGGUUGAGGAAUGCUAUUCUCAAUUCCAGCCUCCCACCGACCAAUCAAGGCCCACGGUGUGGAGCAUGCUGAUUGGCCAGCCCUCCUCCUAUAAUGCUGCCACUUCAGAGUUCCUUCAGAAGGAGAACUAGCAGUUGGUGGCCAUGAUGGCUGAUCAAUAUAAUGGAUGGCAGCCUGUGGCCCUGCCCUUAGGAAGCUGAGAGUGUGUGACCCUAUGAUGAGGCUGAGGGAUUGUUCAUGCCCUACAGCUCUGUCAUGGAGGCUGAGAGAGAGAGAGACUGCUGGGAAGCGAGGGUUUCAAGGAAGCUGAGGGAUGAGAGAGUGUGACCCUUAUGGAUAAAGAAGGAAUCAACCUACUCUCCCUGGGGAGAGAGUUCCAGAGUCGAGGGACGACCACCGAGAAGGCCCUCUCCCUCAUCCCCACCAGCCGCAACUGGGACAAGGUUCGUAGGGAAGGAGGCGAUCACGGAGAUAUGCAGGUCCUGAGUGUACUGAGAGUGAAAAUUCUUUUCAUGGGCCCCAGCGAGAAACAGGAUUUUGACCCUCACUGCUCUGGCCCUGUGGAGUGUGAGAAGGUGCCCUGUGACAGCUGUGAAGUCGACCUGACCCUUCAUGGAGUGCAGAAGCUUGGAUGGCAGUUCAGGGACCACAAGACCCAAACUCCACUCAGAAAGUGAGAAGAAGUUACCUGUCUGUUUCAAAGGAACCGACUGACUCCAAGUUCCAAAGUGAGGACCUGCUUGGCGUUCUUUCAGCCGUGCACUGUGAAAAAGAGACAGCAGCAACGAGGCUAUUAGAGCACUUUCUCUGAAAGCUUGACCCACUUCCCUCCUCUUCUAAGAAAUGUAAUUCUACUGUCUUAAGUUCCUUACCCAAGUCUCAUAUGACUCCACUUGGUUUGGCUCCCCAUCUUUCCUGGCCUCCAGUGGUGGCCGAAGCGCUGUGCAGAAAUGCUGUGGAUGAAAGAUAACAGACAUUUCCUCUGAAACCCCGGCCCACUCUUGACGGAAGUAUAAUGCUCCUGCCUUUGCUGCUUUGGUAGUGGGAGUCCUGGGACUCCUUGUUAUUGGUGUACUUACUGGAGGUGCGGGAGCGUGUGCUGAGAGUGGAGGCGCUUGGACUGGUUCAGAUGCAUGCACAAUGCUUGCUGUUCCAGCUCCUGCGCUUCUUUUUUUCUUGUUCCAAAGUGGCGCCGACUCAUCUGAAAACAUUUAUGGCUCAUCCACGAUACAGACAGUUGUGGAAAGGGGUGGUGUCCUUUUGUCAUGAGCAGUGAGCUGCUCUGUGGCAACAAGAGCAUGUGUGAUAGACUUACCUUGGUUGCUUGGUACAUUGGUUAAUAGCUACAAUGCUGAAAACUAUGCCAACUAGCAAUAUCACUAGUGCCACUGAGAGGACACCGGCUGAUCUCAGUUUUUAUGUGUUUCUUCCAUGUGUUCCUCAUAUGGAACAUUUUUCCCUUUGCCUGAAACUGAAAGAAGGAGGAAGGGAGAGAGAGAGGGAGGGAGUCAACUGAGACAAAUAGUAUUAUUUCAGGGAGGCUUCAUGCAAUAAUUAACACUUAUUUUUUUCAGAAAAGCUUUACAGAAAGGAAAUGAGUGAUAUAGGUCAGUAUUGCUCAAAGUGUUGAGCAUUGCUCCCAUGAGCCAUCACCCACUGAAUCCCCAAAAAUAAUUGUACCAAAUGGGCACAAAUAUAGUGCUUGUCCUCUGGCAUAUUGGGAGAAAAAAAGGCCUAUCCAUAUCGAAUAUCUUCAGAAGCACUGAUGGAGAAGACUCAGGAUUAGUACUGGGACAUAGGGAUAUUUUGAUUUCCAGGGUUGAUGGCAUCAUCCAUACAACACUUAUGCUUCUCUGCUCCCUCCCAAUGAAUUGGGGGAUAGUUUCUGCCAUCAAUCAUUUCUUUUUGGAUAAUAAUAAAAGUACAGUACUCACAUUGACCCACAGAUAAGUCUA
Anolis carolinensis (green anole) is the source of this 3693-nucleotide long non-coding RNA. RefSeq lists it as uncharacterized. The record is from RefSeq and is a predicted model, not a curated record. The transcript is spliced from 3 exons. Lineage: Eukaryota; Metazoa; Chordata; Lepidosauria; Squamata; Anolidae.